Molecule: long non-coding RNA, 542 nt
Filed under: Drosophila guanche
Lineage: Eukaryota; Metazoa; Arthropoda; Insecta; Diptera; Drosophilidae
Source: RNAcentral
CUGGAUUGUAACACAAAUAAUAAGGAUACUUGGUUUUCCCAUCUAUAAUUUAUUAAGAGAAUAAAGUUUGUGUGACUUUUCGACAUGUUUGAAAGUCUAGUAGAGAAAUCUUCUCAGAACCAAGAUAAGUACGAGCAUAAAAGUUAAAUUAAAAAAAAUUUAAAAAAUAUGUCAUGGUAAUCAACAUGUACAUAUGUACAAAUUAACUUAAUGUCGUAUUUGGUCCGAGCUGCGGUAUGCGUUGCGUUGGCUCCGGCGGCAGCGAUCGGGUUCCCGUGGCCCGCUCUUGUAGCGGGGGACGGUGGUUGCGGUUGGCAACUGAGUCUUCUACCGAAGAUUAUGUUGAGAGGGUAAUUGCCCUCUAUUUCGUUGGCCCUUAAGGCUCAACAAUAUGAUUAUAUCAAUACACGUUUUACGACUCGUGUCGGAGUUGAUAUGAACGCUCCGUUCAUUUAUUCGUCCAAUUCUAAACUAAAGCUUACUUCUAAACCUACACCGAAACCUAGCCGGCGAGCCGUCCGCGCUCACAAGAGAUAAGAGCC